Non-coding RNA from Chlorocebus sabaeus (green monkey), 1794 nucleotides. Lineage: Eukaryota; Metazoa; Chordata; Mammalia; Primates; Cercopithecidae. The record is from RefSeq and is a predicted model, not a curated record.
CGCCCCGUCCACGUCCUCCACAGUACACAAUGGCCCCAGAGGAAGGCCCGCUCGCAGCACGUCAGAAAGGAACUGGACUCGGAGAGAAAUGAGGGGCCUGGACUCGCCCGGGAACUAAAGUGGAAACGGGAAAGGAAAUGGAAGAAGGGAUGCAAGGCACGAAGGAGCUAACCAAUAAGGGGUGGCAGUUACCUGUGGACAAGCAGAGUUUGAAAAUAGACAACAGGCCCAACCAUGAGAAUUAGAACGUCACUUGGCAGCUGGAUCCCUUUUCUUUCCUCAGAGACGAUGACACCUCAGGAAAGUGCUUACCUCCACAUACUUCCUGAAGCCUUAAAAGUCACAGACAGGUCACAAAAUCCACCAAGAAAACUGCCACCUGUUUCCUUUGGAAGAAGUUGCUCAAGAGGAAGCACAAUUCAAAGAUCCUAACUACUCCUCUGUCCUAGAUUGGAACAGCCUAAAGAGGAUAAACCCCUAACUUCUGAGUAUGCAUGAAGCCUCCAGGACAUGGGCCUUACCUGUACACCUGACAUGUCUUAUCCACAGCCACUUCCCUAUUGCAGGAAUAAUCAACUCCAGCAAGUAAUUCCUGUCUACAUUCAGCCUCCAGCUAGUCCUCAAAAUUACAAGUUAUACGUCUCUACCAGUCUAUGGCUUCAGCAGCUUUUCCUCCAGGUAAGCAGAUCUCAUCUGUGACUCCAUCUACUCAUCUGUCUUCUCAGAUUUCAAGGUGGCAGUGUAACUUUUGUUGUAAAGGUGACAGUGAUGACUUCUAAGCUCAAUACAUAUCGCAGCUGAAACUGAACUUUUGUUUAACUUUCACAAAAGUGCCAAACUAGUUGCAAAAUGGUUGUUCCAUUUUAUGUUCCCACUGGCAGUGCAUAGAAUUACAUUUGGUUUACUUUCUAACACUUGGAAUGGACAAUCUUUUAAGUGAUAGACAAUGUAAUAAGUGCUGCCUUAUUUUGAUUUUAAUUCUGAUUUCCCUAGUAUCUAAUUAUGUUGAACAUCUUUUCAUGUGAUUAUUUGCCAUCAUGUACAUUCUUUGGUAAAGAGUCAGUUCAAAGAGUUUUCCUAUUUUUGUGCGGGAGAGCAGUGUUUGUUGUUUUUUUGCUAAGUUCUAUAUACAAGUCCUUUAUCAGAUAUGUGAUUUAACAAUAUUUUUUCCUACUCUGUGUCUUGGCUUUUUAUUUUCUGCAAUAUAUUUAUAAAGGAGUUCUAAAUGUUGAAGUCUAACUUAUUUUUCUUUGUAUGAAUUAUGCUUUUGGUGACAUAUGUAAUAAACCUUUGCUUAGCCGACAUCAAAAAUUUUUCUUCUAUGUUUUAUUUUGGAUACUUUAUAAUUUUAGGUUUUACAUUUAAGUUUAUGACAUGGUAGAAUUAAUUGGUAAAUAUGUUGAGAGUUAAGGAUUGAUGAUUAUUUUUUGGUAUGUGGACAUCAAAUUUGUCCAGCAUUAUUUGAUGAAAAGACCAUCCUUUCUUCACAGAAUUGCCUUUGCACCUUUUCCAAAAAUUAGUAGUCCAUAUAUGUUUGAGUAUUGUAUUAGUCCGUUUUCACAGUGCUGUAAAGACAUACCAGAGAAUGGGUAAUUUAUAAAGGAAAGAGGUUUAAUUGACUCACAGUUCCACAUGGCUAGGGAGGCCUCAGGAAAUUUACAGUCAUGGCAGUAGGCAAAGGGGAAGCAAAGACCUUCUUCACAUGGAGGCAGGAAAGAGAGUGUGUGAACGAGGAACUGUCAAACACUUAUAAAACCAUUAGAUCUCGUGAGAACUCAUUAUCAAGAGAACAGC